AAACAUUUUGUUUGUAUUUGUCUCCAGAGUGGUUUUCACUUUUUCUGCCUUCAGAAACCAUAUUCCUGAAGCUUGGCUACACCUGACACCCGUUUCAGUGUUUGACAAGCUACAGUGACUAGUUAGAGUGUUUGAGUAGCUUUUCCAAGGUGGUCGUUAAGAAGGCAGCCUAUCACUUUAACAUUUCCAUGGCGACGCGGCACUGCUUAUCAUGUGACACACCGCACAGCCACAGCGGCUGUAUGACUGAUGCAUUGUGUUUACAUUCUUUUACUAAAAAAAAUCACAAACUGUUAACUAUGUCAUGAAAUAUCUGACAUUCCGAUUGUCAAAUAUGUGCACGUGAAUGUGUUUUGUUGUUUAAACACUUUUAUAAUGAUCACGUUAGGUGAGCUAUAAACGGGCGCCGCCAUGUUUGUUUCUGCCGUGGUCUGAGAUCUGUCGGAUUUACAUCACGCGAAUUCAUCCACUUCUCCACAACCGUCCAGUGAAAUGUUGGGAGGUGGGGAGAUCCGGGGAAGGAGUGGAUAAAGAAAUACAAUGGAGGAGGAGCAGAAAGAGAGUUCCAUCUGAAGGGUCUGUAUGGCACGGGCUGGGUGAUCUCCCGCUGUACGUUUGAUCCGAUGGAUGGAGAGACGUCCGUCGCUCACUGCUGCAACAUCAUCAUCCUCAAGGAA
Long non-coding RNA from Triplophysa rosa, 677 nucleotides. RefSeq lists it as uncharacterized. The transcript is spliced from 3 exons. NCBI's taxonomy places the organism in Eukaryota, Metazoa, Chordata, Actinopteri, Cypriniformes, Nemacheilidae. The record is from RefSeq and is a predicted model, not a curated record.